Molecule: long non-coding RNA, 1728 nt
Organism: Salvia splendens (bonfire salvia)
Lineage: Eukaryota; Viridiplantae; Streptophyta; Magnoliopsida; Lamiales; Lamiaceae
Exons: 3
Source: RefSeq, a predicted model, not a curated record
CACACGCGCACACACACAACCCUCCGCCGGCGACGCCGCGCCUCCGCCGAGCUCCGCCCUCCACCGAACGUUUAAGCUCUUCCUUGUCUCCCUCUCUGUCUCAACACUUCUCUCCCCCUACACAUGCACACAUACAUUCAUCUCUGUAUAGUGGCUGUCCCGCCGAUUCUGGCACCGCCGUCGCUGGACUUCGGAUCUCUUGAAUAGUCUUGUCUAUCCUCUACCUUUUGUUACGAUCAUUAUUGUGCAUUGGUAAUCUUCCCUCUAGAAGCUACUGCCCAAGAACCUUUACAAGGAACAGUAGAAGUUGAGAAAAAAAGGUCAUGGGAGUCUGAAAUGAGGAGCUUGAUAAUUGAUUAAAGAGCUCUCCUUCUCGUUUGUUGUUGGUACCCUUCAUUCCUGCUUGUAUGAGAUUUAGUAAUUUUUCUAGAUAAUCAUAAUUACUUCCACAAUGUGUCUUGUGUGGCAGCAUGUCUCGUGGUUAUCCUCUUUGUGUUGACAUACUAUCUUACCUCACAAAAAGUAGACGGGGGAAGACAACUGCUACUAGCUUUGAAAUCGUGAUUAAUUUAAUUGAUUUCUUACUGUGUUUUUAAAUCGUGAAUUUUUUUCGAUUCACUUAUUUUUUAUGUUUAUGAAUUGUGAAAAGACAUUUAGAUAUACAUGGAGAAAAAAAGUUCUAUUUCCAAUUAUAGAUUUUUUAAUAGGAGUAGUUUUUAAUAUGAAUACUCAUACUCCAGAACAGCGCAUAAUUGAAAAUCAUCUUACUUAAACUCAAAUGUACUACUACUACUUUUUUUAAAAUAUUAGUACAUUUUUUGUUAAUUUGUUCGACCCCACCAUAAAUAUUUUCUGGAUCCGUCAUUGCUUAUGUUUAUUUCCUUGUUAGUUCACAUUGUUUUUUGGGAUCGGAAUAGCUGAAUCUUUUAAUAGGUAGUGUGGUUUAUCUUGCCCAGAUUAUCUUGCUUGGUAUCAUUUAUUUGGUUUUGAGUUCUCAAAGCUAAAUUUUCUUAUGUUUGUUUGCUAGUUAGUUCACAUUCUUUUAAACACGCAUGGAUGCAUUUGGAGUUGAUGAUUAUCUUAAUAGAUUUUUCAUGCUGCCAAUAAAUUUGUUGCAGGAAACAACUACUAAAACAUUGUACAAGGCCCUUUUCUAAUUUUUUCAAUGCAGAAUAUGCAGGCAGUCACCCUUCCCUAAUAAUGUUGGCUCAAAAAUUUCCACUUAAUUUUAAUCUCAUGUUGGUUCUCCUUUUAAAUAUACAGAAGCUCCUAGAUGAAAUAAUGGAGCAUAUCUGCAAAGUUGUGGGCAAUGUCAUGAAAAUUUGAUGCAGUACUAUUGCAUUAUUCUUGUUUUAACUUAGUGCUAAAAUGGUCACAUAUUCUCAACUUUGUCGAGUGACAAUCUGCCACAGUCAUGAAUCCUGUAUGAGAUUAAAAAAAAUCAACACCUUCACAACUACUUAUCAAUUUACGGUGGUUUCCUUCAUAUUUACCAUCUUGCUCGUGAUAAUAAAAUUUAUGUUUUGUUUGAUACUAUUUAAAUUUUGGAAUUGUUGUAUACACACUAUUUACAUCUACAAAAUUCGCAAAAUAGUGUUCGUGAGCAGAUUUAGUUGAAGGAUUAGUUGAUAAGGAGAUGGCAGGUCGUUACGAUCAGAAUUCAUUUGCUGUGUAUAGAAGAAAUUCGCCAGGUCCAGGAAAAGAAGGAGGCAAUCACACGCCCGAGGA